GCUUGCGGCGAGACUCUCCUGCGGGAGCGGGAGGCUUGGGCCUCUCAGGAGGGCACAGGUACGGGGCGCGGGGCGACAGAGGCAGAAACCCAGGCAGCCCCAGACGGCGAGCAGGGCGGGAGAGUGGAAGGGAGGGAGAAGACGGAGAAACAGCGACUGCGACGGGCACAGAGGGAGGACAGAAACGCUGCCCCUUAGGUGGGGAGUGAAACCUCCCGUGAGGGAGCGGCGAGGGCGGCGGGGACGGUGAGAAACGGACAGAGGAGCCCGCGGGAGACAGAAACGGAGGGAAGGGGGCUGACCAUGAGAGAAACGAGGGGGAGAGAGAAGAGAGCACGCGGGAGACUGCAGGGAAGGCGCGGGAGAUGGAGACUCAGAAAACAACCGUAAGAGACAAAGGAAAAGAUACCACAGCGCUGGGCCUGGGGAGAGAACGCAGUGAGAAAUGGAGACGAUGAGAGUAUGAGGUGAUAUAGCAAAACCGACCGUGAAAAAUCGAGUGAGAAGCAGGUGGCGAAGCUGAGAACUGAAAGUGAAAGACAAGAGGACGGAAGAUACAGAAACAGUUUGGGCCCAGUGGCUCCCGCCUGCAAUUCCAGCACUUUGGGAGGCCGCAGCAAGCCGAUGACUUGAGCCCAAGAGUUUGAGACCAGCCUGGGCAACAUAGUGAGAACCCAUCUCGACAAAAAAUCAGGCCGGGAGCAGUGGCUCACCCCUGUAAUCCCAGCACUUUGGGAGGCCGAGGCAGGCGGAUCACGAGGUCAGGAAUUUGAGACCAGCCUGGCCAACAUGGUGAAACCCGUCUCUACUAAAAAUACAAAAAUUAGCCGGGAGUGGUGGCACACGCCUGUAAUCCCAGCUAUUCAGGAGGCUGAGGCAGGAGAAUCACUUGAACCCGGGAGGUGGAGGUUGCAGUGAGCCGAGACCACGCCACUGCACUCCAGCCUGGGCAACACAGCAAGACUCUGUCUCAAAAAAAAAAAUUAGCCAGGCAUGGUGGUGUGCAUCUGUAAUCCCAGCUAUUCAGGAGGCUGAGGUCGGAGGAUCACCUGAGCCUGGGAGUUCAAGGCUGCAGUGAACUGAGAUCGCACCACUGCACUUCAGCCUGGGCAACAGAGCAAGAUCCUGUCUCAAAAAAGAGAGAGAGAAAUUUACCAUGAAAAAUGGAGUGAGAAACAGAGGUGGUGAAGGUGAGAUCUGAAAGAAAAGUGAAAGACUGAGGGGGAAAGACAGAUAAAUUGACCAGGAAAAACUAGGUGAGAAACAGAGAUGAGAGUGUGAGACUGAUAAUGAAACAAAAAGACAGAAGGACAAGGGAGAAAAAAAUAAAGAGAAACUGACCACGAAAACUGGAGUGAGAAAUAGAUGUAAUGAGGGUGAGAAAUUGAAAAAGAAAGACAGGGAAAAAGAAAUGAUGGGAAUAUGAAACUGACAACGAAAGAAAAAAAAUGAGAAAGAUGGUGAGAGAGAGCAAAAGAAAUUACCAUGAAAAAAAUACGGCAUAAAGACGAGUGUGAGAAAUUGAAAAUGAAAGGCAAAAAGAGAUUGGCACAGAGAAGAAAAGAUAGAGAAUUUGAUCAUGGAAAAUGAAGUGAGGCCAGGCAUGGUGGCUCACACUUAUAAACCCAGACAUAAGCCCAGCACUUUGAGAGAGUGAGACAGGAGGAUCGCCUGAGCUCAGGAGUUUGAGACCAGCCUGGGCAACAUAGUGAGCCCGUCUCUACAAAAAUUAAAAAUGAGCCGGGUGUGGUGGCGCACAUCUGUAGUCCCACCUUUUCAGGAAGCUGAGGCAGGAGGAUCGCUUGGGCCCGGGCAGUCAAGGCUGCAGUGAGCUGAGAUCACACCACUGCACUCCAUCCUGGGCAAUACAGAGAUAGAGAUGAUGAGGGUGAGAAAUGGAUAAUGAAAAAAAGAGACCAACAGCAAGUGAGAAACAGGAGCAGAGAUGGAUUCGCAGGGAUCCUGAGAGAUGGGGAUACAAGGAAGACAGGCAAAGAAAAAGGCAGAAGAAUGUGGUGACAGUGAUGUGGGGGCCAAAGCGGGGCGUGGUCCCAGGUGUGGAAGGAGCUGCAGCAGCAAGACAGAGGCCAUAGAGCAGAGGGGGAUGGAGCUGUGGCCCUGGAGGCUGAUUCUGCUGGCCAGAGGGAGGGGAUGGCCAGGGUAAGGAGAGAAGCUGCACUCCAGGAGUCCCCACCUCUGAGCCAUACCAGGCCCGGACCAGAGCGUGAGCUUCAAGAAUGGGUGAGGUUUCGCUUGCUCUGGGGGAGCUGGGGUGGGGACGAUGAUGUGAUGACAGAAUGGCCCUUGGUUGUGGGUUUGACUGAGGGCCCCAGGCUUGCAUAUUGUGUGGCUUACAGGAGGGCCAUGGGCUCAGGAUUGCUGAGCUUAGCCUGAUCUCUUAGAUGGUGUCCUUGGCUCUGAAGAAGUGUCACCAUUGAGCCCAAGGAGGUAAUGCGUUUAGGGUCUCAGGAGCCAAGGAAAACCUUUCCAGGGUGCCCCGAGGCCUCAGCCAGCUCAUUGAGAAGGGUCUUUCUGGAAACCCUGCAGGGAAGCGAAUGGAGGUUUAUGGAGGCCCUCCAUGGCCACCCCAAUCAGGCCUCUCACCUGUGUCCGGCAGGCGCCUUAUUGCUGGGGAGGAGCUACCCGGGCGCCGGGUGGUCCUCCAGGGGAGAGUGUGUCCAGGUACCCCCGCUGUGGUAGUCCCCUUGGCCAGGUCCUCUCUUGAGGUGGGGUCCCAGGUCCAGGGGGGAUAAUCGUCAUAGUCUGUGUAGCCUUUGGAGAAAUUGGGGUAAUGGUUGACCCCAUCCUCUUUCUCAGAGGUCCUUGCUGCUGCUCUUCCCUCCCCUUUUGGAAUCUUCUGGAGCAACUCUGGGAUCUCCCCACCCCGACCCCUCAUACCCAGUUCUUUAGAGUCGACCAUGGUGCCGUCACCUGGCCCCACCCUGACUCCAUUCUCCUGGCCACCCCCGACAACCCCACCACCGCCGCCAUGCCCUGGUACCAGUGCAGGUGAGCCCCACGUCUUCCUCGUGGUCACAGUUGUGCUUCCCCCAAGCCCCCGAGGGGCAGUCGCUCAGUGAGGCCUCGCUUCCCUUACAGCCCAUGUCAUCCAGCCAGAUGGGCCCAGUCCCAGGGCCGUAAUGGGUUUUGCCUACUCGAGGCCGGACCUUUCCACAGCCCAGUUCCCAGCAGGCCACAGUGGCGUCCCGCAGGUCCCAGUUGUCAUCACACACUGUUCCCCAGCGUCCGGCAUGCCACACUUCCAGCCGGCCAGCACAGCGGUUGGGCCCAUCGGCCAGACGAACCCGGAACAGGCCUGCGUGGAAGGCCCUUAGGUCAGGAGGGAGGGUCAGCCUCUCCCAUUCUCUCCCCACACCCCUCACGGCCACUCACCUGAUUCCCCAGUGGUGCUAACACUGGGAGAGGGGGCCGGGUCUUUGGGUGACUCUGGAGACCCUUCUGGGAUCUCAGCAGAUGGCUCCAGGGAGGCCUGAGGGAUACUCUUGAUAGUGGACUCAGAGGUCAUUUCUUGGGGGCCUUGAGUGGUCAGCAUUGCCAUGGUCUUAGUGGUCCGUUCUCGGGGGGCCUGAGGGGUCAGCGUGGCAGUGGUGUGAGAGGUCCAUCUCUGGGGGGCCUCCGUGGUCGGCCUUCUGGUAAACUCAGAGGUAGGUCUUCGGGAGGCCUCAGUGGUCAGUGCUGCAGUGGUCUGUGAGGUUAGGUCUGGGGGGCUUUGGGCCCUGGAGUGUUUCGUGGUUGGCAUCACUGGGGGUUGAGUGGUUGGUCUCUUUGCAUUUUUUGUCACCCACUUCUUAGUACUCUUAGGCAUUUUCCCUGGGGCCUUCGUGGUUGUUUUCUCCAGAACACUGGCAGUCACACUUGCAGAGGGCUUGGUGGCCAGCUCUCCCGGGAGCCAGGCAUCCCGAUCUCUCCCCAGUCCAGGAAUCCAGCUCCAGCUGAAGGGGUCUGAGAUGGAGUCCAGGCCUGGGGGCCCUGGAAGGUGAGUGGGGCAGGAAGAGAAGACAGAGACACCAUGAUGACAAGAUCAUCUACCCAGGCCCCUCCUUCUCUCCAGUCACUCACCCAGUUCCCAUUCAUUCAUCAUUCAUUCAUUUAUUGUCACAAAUAUUUAUUGAGCACCUCCUAUGAGCCACACACCAUAUUAGACCCUCGGGUAGCCUAUGGCAAGCCAAACCCGACACUGCCCCCGCCUUCUUGGCAUUUACAAUCUGGACAUAACUGACCCCCUCACCCUUUCACACCUGACCUCUCCUCUCCAUCUCCUCAGCUUCUGCUCUGAGUCAGGGCCUCAUUUCCUAUACCUUCUGACAGGUCUCCCUACCUCCCUGUCAAUUCUUACUGACCACCAGUGGGGUACCCAGGUCCGACAGGCCACUCCCGAACUCAGAAUCCUUCUGUGGUGCCCCCGUGGCCCUCAGGAAGACGGGGACAGAGGGAAGAGCCGUAGCUUCCAGCAGAGGUGAUGCCUCCAUCCUUUGAGACACCACUCUCCAUCUUCCAUCUUUCUGAUUAGCACACGUGUGCAGUAAAGGAUUAACCCUGCCCAAAGAAAGGUUUCGCCUUUUCCCCGGCUCCUGGGAGAUGACUUCGAAGCCUUUGGAACACCUUGCCUGAUAAGAGAUUUUUUUCCCUGGGGCACUUGGGCCAUGCCAGAUCGCCUAUGCUAACAGUGUGAUUUAUGGUCAGCCACAUGUACGUGGCCAAGUCCCCACGAACACUCUGGAUGCCAAGGCUUGGGGGAACUUCCCUAGUUGGCAGUUCCUCAUGUGUGUUGUCCCACUUCGUUGCUGGGAUAAUGAAGUGCUGUCUGCAUAACUCCACUGGGACAGGACAGUUGGAAGCUCACACCUACUGUCUCCUGAGCCCUGCCUCAGGCGCCUCUUCCCUUGGCUGAUUUUAAUCUGUAUCCUUUCACUGUGAUAAACGAUAACGCUGAGUGUAACAGAUUCUUUGAUUCUAAGAGUUCUUCUAGCAAAUUAUUGAGUCUGACAGUGGUCUUGGUAACCUCAAACUAUAACGAGUCACACAGGUUUGCAAUGAUUUGUUAGAGUAUUUCUCUACAUGAGCUGUGAGCUAUUCAAAGACCAAGACCAUGUUCAUUCCAUUCAUGAGCCCAGCAUGAGGACCCUGCACCUGGCUCAGCCUCUGCAAUUUAAUAACAGGCAUUGCCUGAGUUUAUGUUAACUGGCUCUCACUUUGGCUUCUUUCCAUCUCCCAGUGCCCUGCCUGCUUCCUUUCAUCGUAGGAAAGCUAAAGCUCCUUUCUUAGUGGGAAAUUUCCUUGAUUCCUGGAAGGAAGAGGAAGCAGAAGCUUCUCUGAGUGGGAAUCCCAGAUCUGCCAGUUAGUUGUUGCUGUGUGAUCUUGAGCAAGUUACCCAACCUCUCUGUGCCUCAGCUUCUUUAUCAGUAAAAUGGGCAUAACACACACCACCCUAGACUUAUUAUGUGAUUUCAAUGUGGUUAUAUGUGCAAAAACACCCAGCACAGGGCUGGGGCUUAGGAAGCACUCAAUCAAUGUUAGUGCCCAUGUUAGUUACUGUUCCCCUCCAGGAAGCCCUCCUGGAGUCAACAGAUAGCUAGGGCCUCCUUACCAGUGCAGGUGACCCCAACAUCCUCAUUGUGAGCGCAGUUGUGCUUUCCCCAGGGAGCAGCAGGGCAGUCGGACAGUGAAGCCUCGGUCCCCACACAGCCCACAUCAUCUAGCCAGAUGGGGCCCGCACCCCAGCCAAAGCGGCCAGCAGCAGGGUCUGGCUGCUGAGGUCCACCACAGCCCAGCUCCCGGCAGACCACAGCUGAAUCCCGCAUGUCCCAGCUAUCGUCACACACGGUCCCCCAGCGCUGGUCAUGCCACACCUCCAGUCGACCUGAGCACUUGCUGGGCCCAGCCACCAGGCGCAGCUGGGGGGACCCUGGGGUAGAAGAGACCCAAAGAAUUAGAGUCGGGGAAGCCGCCCAGCCUCCUGACUCUUCAUCCACCUUUCCCUCCCCCCAUCUUCCUUUCCACUCAUCCAUCUAGGCCUUCCCUCCAUUCAUCCAUCCUUUCCUCCAGGCAGCAAGUAUUUCAUGAGGCCUUUUUUGUGCCAUUUUCUGCAUUAGGCAUGAGGGAUAAUGAGUCAGGCAGAGUUUGGAGGAUCCUCAAAAAGCUACACAUCAAAUUACCAUAUAAUCUAGAAAGUCUGCUACUAGGGAUAUACCCAGAAUAAACUGAAAACAGGUAUUCACACAGAUACCAGUAUGUGAAUGUUCAUAGCAGCACCAUUCACAGUAGCCAAAUAGUAGUGGUUGUACAGCAUUUUGAAUGUAUAAAUACCACUUAAGUUGUAUACUUAAACUGGUUAACUUUAUGUUACAUGAAUGUCACCUCAAUUAAAAUAAGUCUUUUUCCAUGCAGUUGUUCAC
RNAcentral lists this long non-coding RNA (6416 nucleotides) under Homo sapiens (human). Its description in RNAcentral is "HSALNT0398781". Lineage: Eukaryota; Metazoa; Chordata; Mammalia; Primates; Hominidae. The record is from RNAcentral.